UGCUACUGAAGUCUACAGUUUUAUUUGCCUAACUAUUUAAGGUCUAAAAAAUCCCUCUGAAACUCUGGAGUUUAUUUGGUAAAGUUUGAACACGAGUCAAGGUCUUGAUGUUGGCUCUGUUGAGGGUUCAGGUCCCCUGGCAGCCUGGAUGAAGGUGGUGGCCCUAACGCUUGAUCAGUGUCCCAAACAUGAGCUAUGUUGCGUCUUUUGACUGUAUAUAUGACUAAUUCUGGCAUAGGGUUCAUUUUGUUAGUAUAAUCUAAAAGUGUGGAAAAGGUAAAAAUAUUUCAAGGUAUCUAAAUAACCUAGAAAAAUGUUUUGGUUUUUUUUCUGGUAAAAUGGCGCUUAAAAACUUUAAUGUCUGCAAAUCCUUGUUUACUGAACUCAAAGACAAGCUGUUGGUUUCUCGAGUGUUACCCAGAGCUCAAUUGUUAGUUAUUCAAAGAGUGGAUUAGUGGGACUUUAUUUCAUCUUGUUUUCAAAGAGGUUAUGGAUAUCACUGCCAUGGUUUGAAACUCCCUGAUUCCUUAGGACAAGGCAGGUAUCAGGGCUAACACGGCUCUGCUUCUGCAUUUCUUGAAGGCACAAGCAUCAAACAUACGCAGGUAGUUAAAAAAGAGCAAUGUUUUUGGCACAUUUUAAGCUGUACCUUAUUCCCUCUCCCAUCUUUUUGCAGAUGUAAGUGCAGUUUUUCAGCUGUAAAUCCAGGAGCUGCAUUGACUCCCAGCCAGUGCUGAGCUGUUCCAUAAGGGUCGAUUUAUUAUUUAUUUUUUUUAACCUGUUUGGUACUUCUCUAGGAAUAGCUUUACAAAUGAGUGGUAAUGACUCCCUAAUAAGAACACUCCUCUCUUUUUGGAUGAUAGCAUUUUCGAUCUGCUUUGCACAGACAUAAGGGACCUUCAUAAGGUUCAAAAAUAGGGGUUAUUUGUCCUAACACACACAUUUGUGGCUAUCAAGCUUAACUGCAUGUUAAGUGUGUUAAUCAUGUAUAUAAAUCAAAUUAUGUUUCGCCAAAGAACGAGGGAUAAUAAUUAGAAAGGAGAAUGGUCAGUGGUACAUUGAAGUUGACAAUAAGCACAAUUCAAUGUGCAUAUUUUUCUUCUGAACAAAAUAGCAUUCCAGCUCUCCCCCUGAUGAGAGGAAUGUAUUGUCAAUUAAUUAGACUUCCAUCAUAUGUCCUCGGAUGCCCUUCUAUCAUAUGCCUUCCAUAUGUCCUUAUGUCAUAUGCCUUCCAUAUGCCCUCUAUGUAAUUAAGCUUCUAUCAUAUGGCUUCUAUCAUAUGCCAUUUAAAUAGAUUUCCAGGAGAAUAUGGCAGUGUUAAAAUUAUGGACCUUUUGCAAUGAGUAAAGGAACAACUCAUGAGCUGUAGAUUAAAAGAGGAGGAAGCAAAAGGAAGGUGGCUCGCACUGAACAGUUCCUUUAAUUGCCAGUUUUGUUUCUCUCAGCUUGGGCAACGAACGGACAAAAGUGUCCUGUUUCCCUUGUUUUCCAUUACAGCUCCAUUCCCAGUUUUUAUUCUGAGAACAGUCAGAGAGAUAGUGACUGGUUUUUCAGAGAACGCUGCCACUGGAAUGUAAAAUGAAAAAGAAACAAUCCACCCCCCCCGAAAAUUGUUUGUCCUACGAUAAUGAAAUGUAAACUUCGAUCCUGUUUUUGUCUCUUCAAGUCUGUAACGGAGGGAAGUACCAGAAUUACCAUGGGGAGAGGAUUAUUGAAAAUGAGAUGGUUUGCUUUACUUAAGCAGGCAACCCUGGUGGGUGCAGAUAGUGGUGUGCUUUUCUUGGCAUGGUGACCGCUUGGUAGUGUCCUGUGCACAAGAAUAUGGGGUGAAAUGGAUUCCAAAUUGACUGUGGCUUAUUAAGGGUGAAGACCAAAAAUAGGCACUGAUGCUUACAUACGUGAUGAGGAAAACUACAAGCAUCCGAGGAAUGAUGAGGUCUUGGGAUGGUUUCCAAUGAGAAGACAGCCAGUGGGCUCGUGUGCCGUGUGUACGUCUGUGUGUCUGUGCCUUCUUUCUUCCCAACACCUUCUCUUCUAAUCCCAGUCAGAUUUGACAGAGGAGCUUCUAAUCCCAGACAGAUUUGACUUCCGAGACUCUUCUGCUCCAGCAAGCUUUACAGAAACCAUAGAAAUCACAGCCAUAUAUCCAGCAGUCAGGAAGAAGGUUGAAAGGACAAAGAGAAGGUUCCUGCAUCCAGGUAGUCAAACUACUGCGUCGUGCCCCAGAGGAGGAAAUGUUGGGGUGCAGGGUUCUCCCUGGCCCCUCUCGGGUCACGGAGGAUAAGUCCACUCCAGGUUUAGGAUGAAGUACAACAAUUCAAGACCACGGAAGAACCAGUGGGAAGGAUGGCUCUUGGUUGACCAAAGUCACUAAAACUUGGCACUGUUGGAGAAGGUAUGUUAGAGAAGUCUGGAUUCUGACCCAGUCUCUGUCUGUCUUCUGCAAAAGAUUAAGCCCAUGGUUUGCCACUGAUAAAUAAAAGUGAAGGGUUGGUAGAUGCCUGGCCUUCACUUGGGCUGGCAUAUUGAAUACCUGCAAUACAGCAGUAUUAAAUAUCCAAUGGCAUGGUCCACCUCCAGUUCUUUGUGUGACCACCAUCCAGAAAGGAGAGCAGAGGAAGGUGAAUGACUUACCCAAGGCCAGGCAGCGUAUCAUUGGAAGGGCUGUGUACAACAGCCGGGUCAGUUGGGUUGCAGAUCUGCAUCCAAACGUACGUUAUGACCUCUUCCUUCCUCGUUAGAUACAUUUCUUGGAAGCCUGGUAUUGCCAGACAUAAUAAAAGUUUCAGGAACGGUGAGGAGGGUUACACCUGGUCCUGCUUUCACACCCACGCUGUGGUUGCAGCCCCUCAGGUUGGUGGUGGGUUUGGGGUCACCACAGUCAGUUCCCUGAAGAGUGUAGGCAGACCCUUUGUAUUCCUUAAGUGAUGUUUUAGGAAUUGUUGUAAAUAGCAGGUCAAACCCAUUCCGGGAUUAGUGCCACUGGUGUGGGUUCGUUUUCAAGUUUGUUUUUCUUGUGUUUGAAGUGGCUUCUCAUCUCUUCUGACAAGGAAUAGCAGUUGUGGCAUCAGAGAGUGGUUUGCAAUAGUGGUGUUUGCAGCCU
Calidris pugnax (ruff) is the source of this 3103-nucleotide long non-coding RNA. RefSeq lists it as uncharacterized. The transcript is spliced from 3 exons. Lineage: Eukaryota; Metazoa; Chordata; Aves; Charadriiformes; Scolopacidae. The record is from RefSeq and is a predicted model, not a curated record.